CCCAAGUGUCCUCAGCCCCUCCUCAUGGGAUUUGCCUUUCAGCCAUUUUAACAGCUUUCUUGCCCUUCUCUGGAGGCUUUCAAGCAUCUUAACAGCCAUUUUAUGUUGGGAAGGCCGUAACUGCGCACAGUAUUCAAGUAAGUUCAAAAUUUA
Oxyura jamaicensis (ruddy duck) is the source of this 153-nucleotide long non-coding RNA. RefSeq lists it as uncharacterized. The transcript has 3 exons. The record is from RefSeq and is a predicted model, not a curated record. NCBI's taxonomy places the organism in Eukaryota, Metazoa, Chordata, Aves, Anseriformes, Anatidae.